UGAGGGCUGCGCCCGCGGAAUCCUCUCGGCCCUCAGGGUCCCCUCAGCCCGGCGUCUCCAAGGUUUUCCUGACGGUCGCAUGUCUUCUUCCUUGUGAAGCAGUGGUGGGUUUAGAUGCAUUUUCACAGGCACAGUAGUUGGCUUCACAGGUGGACAGUGCAGUUAAAUACUUUGAUGGCUGCGUCCUCUUUAUCUCAGUACAUCUUUUGGGGGUUGGCGACCCCCCCUCCAGCCCAUGCACACUGUGCCCUUAUUCCCGUGUGGGUGUUCCUGGACUUCUUGCUAGACCAAUGUCCCAUGAGUUACAUGUGCUUCCCUGGCCUGUGACUGCAAAUUAGGGGCUUGCCAUAUUAUACCAACUGUUUGUCUGUGAGGUAGGGGAAGCCCCUCCAUGAUACUCAUGAGUGAACAUAUGCUCAAACUCAAAUGUGACUAAUUCUUCAUAACAAGAAAAACUUUGCAUUUCCUGGUGAACAGGAUAAGCAGAGUGUUUAAAUGUACUUGUUUCAAAGAACUCUGCUUAAUCUUCUGAAUAAAUCGUUUCAGAGAAAAACAGCAGUAACAAUCUAUUCAUUUUUGUAUUAAAAUAGCAAGAACGUAUUUUAAACUAACUAUUUUUUCUGUCCCAGGAAAUGGCCUGCCUACCUCCUUUUUUAAAUACUAUUUUUAUUCUCUUGGUGGCCUGGAUUCAGGAUGGAGUUAAUAUUUUUCUCCAUGACGCAGUAGGCAGAACAUGCUGAAACUUUAUGAACCCAGAAGCAUAUUCUCUGUGAUAAACAAAAACAAACUAAAAAAAAACUUAUUUCAAGAACUCUGCAACUCAUAUGGCUUCUACCAUCUGGCACACAGUCCUGGCACACUGUAAAUCCUUGCAAGUGGUAUCUCCUUUACAGACCCUAAUACAUAAAACCCAUAUGCCAGUGGCUUGCAGAGGCCACCCCCUCAAGUUGCAGUCAUCAUAUUGUAGCAGUGUGAGAUCUUCUAUGAAGCCAAAGCUUUUAUGGUAUUUCAGAAGGUAAAAAAAAGAAUCCAUUGCCUCCAAACUGUAACAGUAUGGACACUGACAGUGAGGCAACUUUCCGUCAUGAUGCCUUUCUUUGGAAAUGUCACCAACCACACUCAACACAGAGAGCUGCGAGUUAAGCAAAGGCUAAUCCAGAGAGGGGGAUUGAAUGUUGAGUGCUCUAAAGAUAAUUCCAGGGUUAUCUCUGGAAAAAAUUAAAACAACUCGCAUUGAAACAUUUAGUAAUACAAGAUACCAAGGUUACAUUUGAUGAAUACCAACCCUAAUGACAAAUAUACUCUGUGUAAAUCUGAGCUCCAUGACUUUUGGCAAGGAUAUUUGCCAGCAGCUCAAAAGUCCUGGCACAGAAUAUCCACAUGCCCAUAAAUUUCUGCAGGCACAAAUACAUCUGUUAAAUCAUUCCUUCAUGCUUCCCUUCAAUAUAUAAAGUCCUAAAUGUUGAGCACUUCAUCACCAAGCUGUCAUAGGCCAUCCCUGACCUCCCCAGCACAAAAGGACUGGAGGCCUGAGGGAGCUCAGAGUGGUUUCCCUGGAGCAAUACGUCUUCAUCCACAGGAACUGAAAGGACACGGAAAAGCAGAAGGCCCUUAAAAGUGAGGAAACCAAAGCCAGUUCAUGUCAUACUUUUUAGACAUCUUGUUGAAGAUCGGUUUCGUGAUGAAUGUAAGCUGACCUAAAAACUGCCUGAUGCUGAGAUGCAUGGUCCAGCUUUCACCACAUUUCUGCUGCUUCUUUUCUACUACCAAGGUGUAGAAAAAGUAGUAAAGUGACUUUACCUGAGAAGCUAAUAUUAAGUUCAGCAAAGUAUUUUCAUUUUAGACCAUAUGCUAAGGACUUGACUAUGCCUUUAAAAAAAGUACAGCUGUUGAUGUUGUGUGGGACUACCAACAAAAACUGGACCAGAUGUUUUAUCUACUGGAGUAAAUGCUAAUACUCACCCAUAAGGGGAGCAGGCGCCAAGAACUUCUGAAACAGGUGCUGCAAAACACAUAGCUAUAUUUGGAAGAGAUUUUUGGAUACCACCUACAUGGCAAAGCAUGAGUUCACAUUUAUGAUGAAAAAUAAUAAGAGAAAGAAAAAGAGAAAAAAGAGAGAAGAGAAAGAGAAGAGAAGAGAAGAGAAGAGAAGAGAAGAGAAGAGAAGAGAAGAGAAGAGAAGAGAAGAGAAGAGAAGAGAAGAGAAGAGAAGAGAAGAGAAGAGAAGAGAAGAGAAGAGAAGAGAAGAGAUAAAUCAAUUGAAGCCAGGAUGCUAAGACCAAGGCUGAAUAUUCAGAGGUGAGAAGUGUCUUGCAGAUAUGAAGGCAGCUUACAGAUACUUUCCCUAAAUGUCCAAAUUUCAUUGCUUUACCCAUGCAUAAGUGCCUGUACCUCAGAGAAAUUUUGUUUGUAUUUAGUAAGGCUUUCCUUAGGCCUUAGGAAUUCCUUAGUGGAAUUCCAGCUAAAGAUGGAUUUGGAGGUGCUGUCUCCAAAGGUCUCAGUACCUGACAGAUGAGAUUAGGGACCAGUGGUACCCCAAAGUGUGAAGGUAGCUGUACUACCCAAACAGGAAAAAUUUCCAGGUACCAACUUCCAUAUUCUAUGUCACAUCUUGCUCAAAUAAUGCAAAUGUCCAUCCCUCCUCUUCCAUCACUGCCAGUCCCUUCCUUCACCAGCACUGGCUCUAAUUGCAUUUAAAGCAACACAGAAGUUAAACAAACAUACAAUUCUGACAGAAAAUCACCGUUCCAGAAGUACAGCAUUAAUUAGUGGCCUAUAGAAAUUACCUUUUUCUUAUAUUAGGUUGAGAUUAUAUUUAUUUGUAAUUGCCAAUUUUUCAGUUUUUGUAUUUGGAAUAUUUUAAUAGUACAGUUUUAACCCUCAUAUAUCCUGAAGGAAAACCUAUAAAUAUAUGUAGAUGUAGAAGCAGCCCUUUGACUAAUAUUAACAUUGGCCACUUCAAUGUUAUUUUUAAAAGAUACAGGUGAUUUUGUUGCUGUUCUAAUAGUAAUAAAGAGAAGAAGUGUUCUGCAUACAUCAUAGCAGUGAAAUAAACAGUAAAAUACAUCUAAAUGGAGUCCUAGGACUACCAAAGAAUCAGUUCUCUGCCCCUCUUCACCAAACAUAUUGACAGUUUCUGAUUUCCCUUAGGUAUUAUCCAGCAGUAAAAGUCAGCAAUAACCUGUCCCACUUGACAGAAACUGCCAGCACAUGGUAGAACUUGAGCUUUCAUCUCACUCAUCUGAAAUACAUGUCACAGUAGGUGAUAGGCAUUGUCUGCAUUGUCCCCAAAUUGUUGAAAGAGCUUAUUUUAUAGCCCUAGUGCACCUUGGUAUUGAUUCCAAUGAAUGAAAGCUGUGAACAAUAAAACAGGAAAGUAACUGAGAAAACAGGCAAAAUUAAAAUAGUAUUUUGGAAUGAAUGGGGAGUUUUGCAAAAGACAGAGCACCUGAUUGCUCUGAUUUGAACUCCAAACAGUAAUUUCAGAUAGUAUGGCUGCAAUGUGAUCUAAUAUUUCCAUAUUGAAUAGUGAACACUAUUCCUCAAUUAUUUUUUUUCCCAGCAGAAGGUUUAAAUAGAAAGACACACUUUGGCAUUUAAAGCAAUAUAAUCUAAAGGACAACUGUCAGGUUUAACCUUUUACAUGUCACGACUGUGAAAUGAUUGAGACUAUUGAUAGACAAAUGUAUAACAGGGAAAAACAACUAAAAAAAUUAACCUGUAAUACCUUAUAAUACAAGAAACAUAAAUAACUAAUGACUUGUUCACAUCUGAGAAUUUCAAAUGUCCUGAUAAUAUAUGCUGACAUUUCCUGGGUAAGUAGUCUUGUUUCCUAUUUAUUCUACAUAUGCUAUCAAUAUUGUCAUGGUUACAGUCCAGCUAAAUUAUUAAUACAUAUGUACAAAAAUUCUGAGAGCAGUUAGAUUUAGAAUCAAAGUAAGCAUUCCAGAUUUGUACAUUCCUUCUUUGUCUACCAAAAAAAUAAAAGAGAAAUCAGAAUCAUAGUUGAAUAAAGUUACAUGUAAUUCACAUAAGUAAUUAUUAGGUAGAACUUUAUUAAGUUAAUUAGAGCAUUUUUACCAGCUUCACUAGGUGUUCUGUCUUUUAGUUAUGUGCAUCCAGUUCUUGUUAGAACAUUAGUCUCAAUGAGUUUUAGGAGUGAGACAAAUUAAGAUUUUUCUACUAAAAAUGUGUUCAUCAGUUAUAGUUAAACCAAACUUUGUUUGUCACUCUUAGGUUUUAAAUCUCACUUACUAAAAAUUGCAUUUUAGUAGUAAAAAGACAAAGCAUUGAAUAUAAACUAAGAUGUCUGUCUGAAUUAUUCAGGGUGAACUGGAAAAAUUAAUUGAUACAUAGAGAAUAAUGAAUGUCCAAGGAGUAUUCCUUUUGAUAAUUUUCACUUUUCUUUGCCUAUUUUGUAAAUUAAAAAAAAAAAAUAAAUUUCUCAUAACAAAUGUAAAAUAUCAAAGGUAUUAUGGAAUAAUUUGUAAUAUAAAUACCCAGGUGGAAUUGAAAUACUGCAUACUGCAUGAUUACAGUUUUUCAACCUUCAACUAAAGAAUUAAAAAUAUCUUUUUCAAUAUUAAAAGUUGAGUCUCAGAAUUGUUAUACUGAGAACAAAUACGCACAGAACUUUAAGAAUUAGAAGAAUCCAUUUGUAUAGUUUAUUUGUGUUCAUUCCAGAAGGUUCUCUGUAAAACAUAUUAUCUAAACCCAAUUACAUCGCUUAAGCUGAAUCAACGACCACGCUUGCUUGUAUAAGUGAAAACAAACAAAAAAAAAAACCCAAACCAAAACAAAGCAAAUAACCAAAAACCCCACCAAAGUCUCUCUGUAAUCUGAGAGAUAAGAAAAUGUUAUUUAAAAAAUAAUGUGUUGGCAUCUUGAUCUGCUGAAAGUAAUAUUGGAUGACCAAGGAAAGGCAGGUGAUUCAAGAUGUUUUUGCCCUGCCUUGAUGCUGGAUAUAAACACAGAAUUGUGUAGAGAGGACAUGGACUUUUUACAUCCCACUGCCAGAUGGUCUGAGUCUCUUUCAUGUAAGUCAAGGAUUGCUGUCCUCUUCCUGAUUGCCUGCUCAAGUUCUUGAGACAGCAUCAAUGGUUUUAGUCUCAUAAAAUCUACUACAAAUACUGAUAUGUCAACAGGACUGGAACACCAGUAGAUCUGACCACAAGAUCCAGCUGAAGGCUGAGAAAACAUUUCCAAAGUGCACAUCAGUGCAGUGACAGUGCUACACUUCCCAAGAGGGACUGUAGCUGAGACAGAGAGUGAAAAAGCUGUAUGAGCCUGUACAAUAGUCACAAGUGUGAUCUGCUUGCUGCUUGCAAAUCUAGUAAUGAAAAAUCACCCAUAGAAGCAAACCAACAGGGCAGUAAAGAAUACCUUUUUACUCCUACUCUGCAUGUUAAGAGUUAAGGAGACACAGCAAAUCUUUUUCCUUACUACUAACUACAAAAACUCUAACAGCUUCACUGCCCUAAGGUAACAGGAGCCCUGUAGCAAUGUUUCUGGUAGAAUUCAAAGAUGAGCUUGUGAGAGUUGAUUACCUCUUUUUUCCAAACUUCUAACCUAAACUCUUUGUAUCUUCUUUCCUGAAUAAAAAAAAGGAUUUUUUUAAUAAUAAAAAAGUGAAGAGAGAGAGGAAAAAAACCCUGACAGGCAGUCAAGAGAAUACAUUAAUUAUAUUAAACCUUACAAAAUCUUCAUAACUAAACUCACUACCAUGAGUUAAUGCACACUAAUAUCUACCUAGAUGCUCUAGAACCUAGUUACUGUUGGGGGCAGGUUAUAAAAGACUGUAAUCAGCUGUGGCAGCUAGACCAACUAACUAGAAAAGGAGAUGGGAAUGAUUGCUUUAAUGUAAUCCCAAAAAUAAGGCAUUUCCUAGAAAGGGGGUCUGCUUGAGCUCAAAAGCAAUGAUGACCUGAACAUUGAGAGAAGAACCCUUCUGAUUUAAAAAGGAUGGCAUUGACAAGGCAGUUGACAUUAACCCCAUAUAUACUAAGAGGGAAGGACUGUGAGAAUUAUACUGACAAUAUCUUGUGGUUAUAUUUUUUAUCAUUAGGAAGUGAUAGAAUUUGAAAUAUCUAGGAAACUGCUAAUAUAUUGCAAGUUCCUACCAAUGCUAGUAUGCUAUUCCCCAUAACUACAUCCAACCCAUCUAUCCCCCUGGUCUGAGAAAAUUUUUCUUGCUCUCUAUGAGUCUGAACUAAUUAAUCCAUCCUCCUUCCUGUCUUUCUUAUUGCUGAGACUUCUCUUCUCCUCAGGGCCUGCUUCUUCUCACCAUCAUUUUUCAUGUGAAAUGGUAAUUUGUGAGGCAGAAAUGUUUUGAGAAGUAGGAAAUGCUGUGUUCUCUUCCUGACUGCAUCACUGCCUCUGAUACCAGCAAGUCAUCUCAGCUUCCUGCUUGUUUCCUUUAACUCACAUCCAAGUCUCUAAAGUUAAGACUCCAAGGCUGCACCUGAACAGAUACGUGCUGUUCAAAGCACUGGGUGUACAGCUACGUUCAUUUGCUUCUUGCAGCCAAGCCUGACCAGGAAAUCUACUAAACAUGUCUUCCUGCAGACUGAAAGAAAAGGUGUAGGAACUUGCAUGAUGUUGAGUAUCUCCUAAUGUCAGUGCAUUAACAUUUGUUGAAGCCUACAACAAAAUCCAGACUUGCAACAUCUGUCAGGGUACUUAGCAGUUUACAAUAUGUAAAUCACCAUAUUUCUAAUUAUGUACAGGAAAAAAAACCUCCAGGGAUUAGCAAAUAGAUAUUGCUAAUAUACUGCAAUCAGCCAUGGAAGGCCAAUUCAUAUCAUGGCAUGAAUAAGAAAAUAUUAACAGAAAAAAAUCCCAGUUAUGAAAAAGUGAGGCCUAAAUAUCCUUGGAAAGAAACCCACUUAUCUGUGGGGGUUUGCCCUAAGAUGUUACAAAAACUAACACAGAAUAAACAAUUGUUAUGAAUGCUGACCUAUACUAUCUUGUUCUUUCACUGUAAGCAUACCCCAGUAACUUUAGACAUAUGGACUUUGCAAAUGGUAUCAAAGCUGUACGUGGAUGGAAAUCCAAGAUAUUAAAAAGCUAAGCCGAUAGGCUGUCUGCUAACUAUCCAUCAAGAGAAAUAAAGAAGCUCAGACAAUUUAUAGAAAUACACAUUUACUCAGGGAAAAUAUCUCUGUUUUACUAUCAUAAGCAACAUUAUCUUCCGAGGAUUAAUGGAUGAACUAGCAAAAUCUCAUUCCCUCAACGUACUGGUAGAUACCAGAAGACAAACUUCUUGAUCUGGCAUACAUGAAGUUGCUGUAAUCAGAACAGCUUUUCACAUUGUCCUAAACAUUUUUGCUAACCCACAUCAUCAUCCACAGAAACUGAGAAGGUGAUUAUAGACAAGAAGGGAAUUGAGUCAGUAGGGAUAGAUGGCUUUUAUGGCCAGUUAUAUUUAUCAGAAUUAAAGUCUAGAAAGAGCUAGAAAAAAUACUGGAAAUUUGGUGUGAUUUCUUGGAAUAAAAGCUUCUAUGCAGCACCAAAGUAGGUUAAUUUGAUAAGUAGAUAAUAGGGCAGGUUGAGAUUGUUGUAACAACCUCUGGCAUUUGUGAAUUCCAGCCAGAAUACACAAUGGUGCAAAAGUUAUAGAAACAUUGUCAGGAAAUUCACAGGGAGUUAUACAGCCCUCUUGCCAUAAAGCUGGAUCAGCUAUAAUUGCCUCUCAAUCAACUGCUGAUUGCUUGUCUGGGUUAUGGACUGCUCAUAUUGUAAGUCCAGAGACUCCUGAAAGGCUCUGCAUGAGCCAGCUCAUAUCCAUGAGAAUGAGAGUUGUGUUGGCAGGACACCGACAUGCUGGUGUGCUCCACACCUGCCAGGUCCUCCCACCUCUGCAGUCACCACUGUCACCAGAUCCCUCUUUUCCCCAUUUCCUUCCCAGGGAAUGAUCCCAUAGACCAUCUUGCAUUCAUCCUAUACUUCCUGGAGUUUGAGGUAGGGUUGGGUUUCAGGUGUUUUAUUUCUUUCCC
This is a long non-coding RNA of Passer domesticus (house sparrow), 7994 nucleotides long. RefSeq lists it as uncharacterized. Lineage: Eukaryota; Metazoa; Chordata; Aves; Passeriformes; Passeridae. The transcript has 5 exons. The record is from RefSeq and is a predicted model, not a curated record.